RNAcentral lists this ribosomal RNA (351 nucleotides) under uncultured bacterium. Its description in RNAcentral is "bacterial SSU rRNA". It matches the Rfam family "Bacterial small subunit ribosomal RNA", at positions 22 to 356 of the family's 1533-position model. The record is from RNAcentral.
GCUCAGGAUGAACGCUGGCGGCGUGCUUAACACAUGCAAGUCGAACGGGAAUUACUUUAUUGAAACUUCGGUCGAUUUAAUUUAAUUCUAGUGGCGGACGGGUGAGUAACGCGUGGGUAACCUGCCUUAUACAGGGGGAUAACAGUCAGAAAUGGCUGCUAAUACCGCAUAAGCGCACAGAGCUGCAUGGCUCAGUGUGAAAAACUCCGGUGGUAUAAGAUGGACCCGCGUUGGAUUAGCUAGUUGGUGGGGUAACGGCCCACCAAGGCGACGAUCCAUAGCCGGCCUGAGAGGGUGAACGGCCACAUUGGGACUGAGACACGGCCCAGGCUCCUACGGGAGGCAGCAGUA